This is a long non-coding RNA of Cyprinus carpio (common carp), 600 nucleotides long. Lineage: Eukaryota; Metazoa; Chordata; Actinopteri; Cypriniformes; Cyprinidae. The record is from Ensembl.
AUGUUUCUUCUUUAUGAAUUUUAUUUCAUCUUCAUGUUUCUGUUUCAUUUCAUCUUGUUUUUUCUCUUCUCUUUCUUUUCUCUCUCUCUCUCUUCUCUUCAUCUCUUCUUCUUGUUCUUGUUUCAGAUCUUCAAUCAUGUUCUUCCAUCUCUUUCUCUCUUCUUCUUGUCUCUCAUCAUCUUCUCGUUUUCUUCUCUCCCACUCCUCUUUUCUCUCUCGUUCCAGUCGUUCAUAAUGAUUUUUCAUUUCAGUUUUGUUUUGUUCAUAUUCUCUCUCUUUUUCUUCUCUUUCUCUUUUUUCUUUCUGUCUCUCUUUCUCUUCUUGUUCUUUCCUCAUUUUCUCCUCCAAAUCUCUCUUCUUUAUUUCUUUUUCUUCUUUGAUCUUUAACUGUGUUAUAACACGUUCUUGUUCAUUUCUCAUCUUUUCUUGAUCUCGUCUGUAUUUUUCUUCUCCUGUUUUUUGCUGUUUUUCAUACUGUGAUAUCUGAUUUUCAAACUCUUUCUUCAUUUCUUUAAUUUUGUUAUUAUACUCAGCUCUUUGCUGUAUUUCUUCUUCUGAUCGUUCCUGGUUUUCCUUCUCUCUUUUCUUCUUUUCUGUUUU